GCUUACACAUGCAAGUCGAGCGGUAACAUUUCUAGCUUGCUAGAAGAUGACGAGCGGCGGACGGGUGAGUAACGCGUAGGAAUCUGCCUAGUAGUGGGGGACAACAUGUGGAAACGCAUGCUAAUACCGCAUACGCCCUACGGGGGAAAGGAGGGGAUCUUCGGACCUUUCGCUAUUAGAUGAGCCUGCGUGAGAUUAGCUAGUUGGUGGGGUAAAGGCCUACCAAGGCGACGAUCUCUAGCUGGUCUGAGAGGAUGAUCAGCCACACUGGGACUGAGACACGGCCCAGACUCCUACGGGAGGCAGCAGUGGGGAAUAUUGGACAAUGGGCGCAAGCCUGAUCCAGCCAUGCCGCGUGUGUGAAGAAGGCCUUAGGGUUGUAAAGCACUUUCAGGAGUGAGGAAGGGUGUACGGUUAAUACCCGUAUAUUUUGACGUUAACUCCAGAAGAAGCACCGG
This 458-nucleotide ribosomal RNA is filed under the name uncultured bacterium. RNAcentral describes it as "bacterial SSU rRNA". It matches the Rfam family "Bacterial small subunit ribosomal RNA", at positions 46 to 496 of the family's 1533-position model. The record is from RNAcentral.